Molecule: ribosomal RNA, 1269 nt
Filed under: uncultured bacterium
Lineage: Bacteria
Description: bacterial SSU rRNA
Rfam family: Bacterial small subunit ribosomal RNA
Source: RNAcentral
AGUGGCAGACGGGUGAGUAACAUGUAGGUAUCUACCCUUUGGCCUGGAAUAACACGAGGAAACUUGUGCUAAUACCGGAUAAGUCUUUACGGAGAAAGCUUUAUGCACCAUUGGAUGAGCCUGCACUUGAUUAGGUUGUUGGUGGGGUAAUGGCCUACCAAGACUGUGAUCAAUAGCUGAUUUGAGAGGAUGAUCAGCCACAUUGGGACUGAGACACGGCCCAAACUCCUACGGGAGGCAGCAGUGGGGAAUCUUGCACAAUGGGGGAAACUCUGAUGCAGCGAUGCCGCGUGAGUGAAGAAGGCCUUUGGGUUGUAAAGCUCUUUCGUCGGGGAAGAAAAUGACUGUACCCGAAUAAGAAGGUCCGGCUAACUUCGUGCCAGCAGCCGCGGUAAUACGAAGGGACCUAGCGUAGUUCGGAAUUACUGGGCUUAAAGAGUUCGUAGGUGGUUGAAAAAGUUAGUGGUGAAAUCCCAGAGCUUAACUCUGGAACUGCCAUUAAAACUUUUCAGCUAGAGUAUGAUAGAGGAAAGCAGAAUUUCUAGUGUAGAGGUGAAAUUCGUAGAUAUUAGAAAGAAUACCAAUUGCGAAGGCAGCUUUCUGGAUCAUUACUGACACUGAGGAACGAAAGCAUGGGUAGCGAAGAGGAUUAGAUACCCUCGUAGUCCAUGCCGUAAACGAUGUGUGUUAGACGUUGGAAAUUUAUUUUCAGUGUCGCAGCGAAAGCGAUAAACACACCGCCUGGGGAGUACGACCGCAAGGUUAAAACUCAAAUGAAUUGACGGGGACCCGCACAAGUAGUGGAGCAUGUGGUUUAAUUCGAAGAUACGCGCAGAACCUUACCAACACUUGACAUGUUCGUCGCGACUCUAAGAGAUUAGAGUUUUCGGUUCGGCCGGACGAAACACAGGUGCUGCAUGGCUGUCGUCAGCUCGUGUCGUGAGAUGUUGGGUUAAGUCCCGCAACGAGCGCAACCCUCACUUUUAGUUGCCAUCAUUUAGUUGGGCACUCUGAAAGAACUGCCAGUGAUAAGCUGGAGGAAGGUGGGGAUGACGUCAAGUCCUCAUGGCCCUUACGUGUUGGGCUACACACGUGCUACAAUGGUAUCUACAACAGGAAGCAAGACUGCGAGGUCAAGCAAAUCCUUAAAAGAUACCUCAGUUCGGAUUGCACUCUGCAACUCGAGUGCAUGAAGCUGGAAUUACUAGUAAUCGUGGAUCAGCGUGCCACGGUGAAUGCGUUCCCGGGUCUUGUACACACCGCCCGUCA